AGUGAACGCUGGCGGCGUGCUUAACACAUGCAAGUCGAACGAGAACGGAAUAUAGCUUGCUAUAUUUGUCAGCUAAGUGGCGCACGGGUGAGUAAUGUAUAGACAACCUGCCCUUAAGGAAGGAAUAACAGUUGGAAACGACUGCUAAUGCCCUAUAUGCCUUUAAUACAUAAGUAUGCAAGGGAAACGCUUUAGUGCUUAAGGAUGGGUCUGUAUGGUAUCAGCUUGUUGGUGAGGUAAUGGCUCACCAAGGCUAUGACGCCUAACUGGUUUGAGAGGAUGAUCAGUCACACUGGAACUGAGACACGGUCCAGACUCCUACGGGAGGCAGCAGUGGGGAAUAUUGCACAAUGGACGAAAGUCUGAUGCAGCAACGCCGCGUGGAGGAUGACACAUUUCGGUGCGUAAACUCCUUUUAUAUAGGAAGAUAAUGACGGUACUAUAUGAAUAAGCACCGGCUAACUCCGUGCCAGCAGCCGCCGUAA
RNAcentral lists this ribosomal RNA (485 nucleotides) under uncultured bacterium. RNAcentral describes it as "partial 16S ribosomal RNA". It matches the Rfam family "Bacterial small subunit ribosomal RNA", at positions 29 to 523 of the family's 1533-position model. The record is from RNAcentral.